Molecule: long non-coding RNA, 238 nt
Organism: Oncorhynchus masou masou (cherry salmon)
Lineage: Eukaryota; Metazoa; Chordata; Actinopteri; Salmoniformes; Salmonidae
Exons: 3
Source: RefSeq, a predicted model, not a curated record
ACAUGGGGAGGUGACUGUUAUACCAGCUCUAUCAGAACUAGAGGACAUGGGGAGGGACUGUUAUACCAGCUCUAUCAGAACUAGAAGACAUGGGGAGGUGACUGUUAUACCAGCUCUAUCAGCUCUAUCAGAACUAGAAGACAUGGGGAGGGGACUGUUAUACCAGCUCUAUCAGAACUAGAAGACAUGGGGAGGGGACUGUUAUACCAGCUCUAUCAGCUCUAUCAGAACUAGAAGA